UACGGGGGGGGCAAGCGUUGUUCGGAAUUACUGGGCGUAAAGGGCUCGUAGGCGGCCAACUAAGUCAGACGUGAAAUCCCCAGGCUCAACCUGGGAACUGCGUCUGAUACUGGAUGGCUUGAAUCCGGGAGAGGGAUGCAGAAUUCCAGGUGUAGCGGUGAAAUGCGUAGAUAUCGGGGGGAACACCAGUGGCGAAGGCGGCUCUCUGGGGUGCACCUGACGCUGAUGCGCGAAAGCGUGGGGAGCGAACCGG
RNAcentral lists this ribosomal RNA (253 nucleotides) under uncultured bacterium. Its description in RNAcentral is "partial 16S ribosomal RNA". It matches the Rfam family "Bacterial small subunit ribosomal RNA", at positions 524 to 776 of the family's 1533-position model. The record is from RNAcentral.